This 253-nucleotide ribosomal RNA is filed under the name uncultured bacterium. Its description in RNAcentral is "partial 16S ribosomal RNA". It matches the Rfam family "Bacterial small subunit ribosomal RNA", at positions 524 to 776 of the family's 1533-position model. The record is from RNAcentral.
UACGUAGGGACCGAGCGUUGUCCGGAUUCAUUGGGCGUAAAGAGCUCGUAGGCGGCUGCUCAAGUCGAAUGUGAAAACUCGAGGCUCAACCUCGAGCCUGCAUUCGAUACUGGGCGGCUAGAGUCUGGUAGGGGGAUCAGGAAUUCCUGGUGUAGCGGUGGAAUGCGCAGAUAUCAGGAGGAACACCGGUGGCGAAGGCGGGUCUCUGGGCCGAUACUGACGCUGAGGAGCGAAAGCGUGGGGAGCGAACAGG